This 70-nucleotide ribosomal RNA is filed under the name Sinocyclocheilus rhinocerous. Lineage: Eukaryota; Metazoa; Chordata; Actinopteri; Cypriniformes; Cyprinidae. The record is from RNAcentral.
CCCUGCAGCCCAAGACUGGUCGCCCACUGAAGAUGGGAGACCUCCUGGGAAAACUAGGUUGCUGCUGGAA